RNAcentral lists this transfer RNA (87 nucleotides) under bacterium. Its description in RNAcentral is "tRNA-Leu". It matches the Rfam family "tRNA". Rfam says of the family: Transfer RNA (tRNA) molecules are approximately 80 nucleotides in length. Their secondary structure includes four short double-helical elements and three loops (D, anti-codon, and T loops). The record is from RNAcentral. RNAcentral also lists the same sequence under 2 other names.
GCCGGAGUGUCGGAAUCGGCAGACGAUGGCGACUCAAAAUCGCCUGGGCUCACGCCCGUGGGGGUUCGAGUCCCUCCUCCGGCACCA